GCGUCGAUGUGCUGGCGCCGUCGGAGCGGCGGCGCUCCAGUGUGCCAGCGUGGCGAGCUGGCGUAGUGCGCGGGGCGCAUCUGACGGCGGCGGACCGGCGUUCGGCGUUUCAGGGUCCCUGAACACCUAACGUCGCGGCCGGAUCGGGCUUGGCCGGAGCCAGGUCAGAUCAUGUUUGACCUCCCCUCCGGCGACACGCCGCUCUCCAAGCUGUUCCUGCUCAACAUGGCCGCCUGCGGCGGCGAGCUGGGCUUCUCGUCGGUGACGACGAUAGCGCCGACGCUGCUGCGCCGUCAGAACUUCAGCGAGACGGCCAUGAGCAUCACGAUGGGCAUAGGGCCGUUCCUGGCGCUGCUGGCGAUCCCGUUGCUGGGUCAAUGGACGGACCGCUGCAGCAGCCGGCUGGGCCGCCGCAAGCCGUUCCUGCUGGUCUACGGCUUGCUGCUGCUGCUCGGCAUCACGUGCAUCCCGGCCGCUGCCGAGUUGUCGGCCGCCACGGCCGGCCUCGUCUCCACAGAGGUCAUCUUAACGCUGAGUGUUGUGCUCUCCACCUUCACUGCGCAAGUGUUCUUCAAUCCGUACCAAGCGCUCAUCUCAGACCUGUGCCCUUCGGAGCAGGACGCCCGCAGAGGGAUUCUCCGUAUUUGCGCUCAUGGUCAACGUUGGCUCGGUCCUAAGCAACCUGCUUUUCUCCUGGAGCUGGUUCUCUGGAUCGCUGCUGGUCUCCCAGCGGGCCACGUUUGGUCUGAUCGCCGUGCUGGUCAGCGCGCUGACCGCCGUCACCCUACUCACCACCCGGGAGCUGGCCGCUCGGUCGACGGUCGGUCCCGAUGCCGACGCGGCCGUCUCGCCGCUGCUCGAGGAUGUCGGGUACGGCAGCGACUCGUCAAGGCACAGCUCGCCGACGACCAAGUGGCGGCACCAGACGGCGUGGCACCUGCUGUCGCUGCGGGACGGGCUCAGCACGGCCUGCUGGACGGACCGAACCGGCUUGGCAGCCGCCAGCGACCGGAUGGCCCGACUUCUGCUUCUGACGCCGCUCACUGCCCUCUGCCGGGUUAUCCUGUGGCCAUACUCCAUCUUCCGACGAAUACACCGGUCUCCGAUGGUGCUUAGGAGGCUGUUUAUCGUCGAUCUUCUGUCAUGGAUGGCACUUCUUUCUUUCUACAUGUUCCUGACUGACUAUCUCGGGCAGGCGGCCGGCGGCCGGGCCGAGGACCCAGACGGCUCCGAGGGGAGAGCCAAGUUCGACGAAGGUGUCCGCAUGGGCUCCAAAUGUCUGAUGAUCGACGGCGUCUCCG
Molecule: unclassified non-coding RNA, 1301 nt
Filed under: Pollicipes pollicipes
Lineage: Eukaryota; Metazoa; Arthropoda; Thecostraca; Pollicipedomorpha; Pollicipedidae
Description: solute carrier family 45 member 3-like, transcript variant X1
Source: RNAcentral